RNAcentral lists this ribosomal RNA (497 nucleotides) under uncultured bacterium. RNAcentral's name for it is "partial 16S ribosomal RNA". It matches the Rfam family "Bacterial small subunit ribosomal RNA", at positions 28 to 507 of the family's 1533-position model. The record is from RNAcentral.
GAUGAACGCUGGCGGCGUGCCUAAUACAUGCAAGUCGAGCGAACAGACGAGGAGCUUGCUCCUCUGACGUUAGCGGCGGACGGGUGAGUAACACGUGGAUAACCUACCUAUAAGACUGGGAUAACUUCGGGAAACCGGAGCUAAUACCGGAUAAUAUAUUGAACCGCAUGGUUCAAUAGUGAAAGACGGUUUUGCUGUCACUUAUAGAUGGAUCCGCGCCGCAUUAGCUAGUUGGUAAGGUAACGGCUUACCAAGGCAACGAUGCGUAGCCGACCUGAGAGGGUGAUCGGCCACACGGGAACUGAGACACGGUCCAGACUCCUAAGGGAGGCAGCAGUAGGGAAUCUUCCGCAAUGGGCGAAAGCUUGACGGAGCAACGCCGCGUGAGUGAUGAAGGUCUUCGGAUCGUAAAACUCUGUUAUUAGGGAAGAACAAAUGUGUAAGUAACUAUGCACGUCUUGACGGUACCUAAUCAGAAAGCCACGGCUAACUACGUG